GUGUCAGCCGCCGCGGUAAUACGGAGGGUGCAAGCGUUGUUCGGAAUCACUGGGCGUAAAGCGCGUGUAGGCGGCCUCCUCAGUCUGGUGUGAAAGCCCGGGGCUCACCCCCGGAAGUGCAUUGGAUACUGGGAGGCUGGAGUACCGAAGAGGAGGGUGGAAUUCCUGGUGUAGCGGUGAAAUGCGUAGAUAUCAGGAGGAACACCGGUGGCGAAGGCGGCCCUCUGGUCGGAUACUGACGCUGAGACGCGAAAGCGUGGGGAGCAAACAGGAUUAGAAACCCGGGUAGUCC
This 292-nucleotide ribosomal RNA is filed under the name uncultured bacterium. Its description in RNAcentral is "partial 16S ribosomal RNA". It matches the Rfam family "Bacterial small subunit ribosomal RNA", at positions 505 to 796 of the family's 1533-position model. The record is from RNAcentral.